RNAcentral lists this non-coding RNA (26 nucleotides) under Rattus norvegicus (Norway rat). Lineage: Eukaryota; Metazoa; Chordata; Mammalia; Rodentia; Muridae. The record is from RNAcentral.
AAGAAGGGAGGGCAGCAACUGGAGAU